AGUGAACGCUGGCGGUAGGCCUAACACAUGCAAGUCGAACGGCAGCACAGUAAGAGCUUGCUCUUACGGGUGGCGAGUGGCGGACGGGUGAGGAAUACAUCGGAAUCUACUUUUUCGUGGGGGAUAACGUAGGGAAACUUAUGCUAAUACCGCAUACGACCUACGGGUGAAAGCAGGGGAUCUUCGGACCUUGCGCGAUUGAAUGAGCCGAUGUCGGAUUAGCUAGUUGGCGGGGUAAAGGCCCACCAAGGCGACGAUCCGUAGCUGGUCUGAGAGGAUGAUCACCCACACUGGAACUGAGACACGGUCCAGACUCCUACGGGAGGCAGCAGUGGGGAAUGUUGCACCAUGGGCGCAACCCUGCUCCAGCCAUACCGCGUGGGUGAAGAAGGCCUUCGGGUUGUAAAGCCCUUUUGUUGGGAAAGAAACGCAGCAGGUUAAUACCCCGCUGUUCUGACGGUACCCAAUGAAUAAGCACCGGCUAACUUCGUG
Molecule: ribosomal RNA, 492 nt
Filed under: uncultured bacterium
Lineage: Bacteria
Description: partial 16S ribosomal RNA
Rfam family: Bacterial small subunit ribosomal RNA
Source: RNAcentral